Molecule: long non-coding RNA, 243 nt
Organism: Arabidopsis thaliana (thale cress)
Lineage: Eukaryota; Viridiplantae; Streptophyta; Magnoliopsida; Brassicales; Brassicaceae
Product: other RNA
Exons: 1
Source: RefSeq
CAGGUUGUGGGACUCGUUGUAUUUUGCUUUUCAUUCUUCGAGGAGUACGUACGCCACUUGCUGCUCAUUCUUUGAGAGCUCUUUAUUUUUAGUCGGUACACACUGACUUCGAAGACAAGUCCGAUUCUUCUUCUUUUCAGCCGAUCCUUCUUCUUUUUAUUAGUAGUUCUAUUUAUUUUACAUCGUCAUUUCGGCCUUAUCCUCUUUCGAAUAUCUUUUCUGUAUAUGAUUCAUCGUGUGUUU